AUUGAACGCUGGCGGCAGGCCUAACACAUGCAAGUCGAGCGGAUGAAGGGAGCUUGCUCCUGGAUUCAGCGGCGGACGGGUGAGUAAUGCCUAGGAAUCUGCCUGGUAGUGAGGGAUAACGUCCGGAAACGGGCGCUAAUACCGCAUACGUCCUGAGGGAGAAAGUGGGGGAUCUUCGGACCUCACGCUAUCAGAUGAGCCUAGGUCGGAUUAGCUAGUUGGUGGGGUAAAGGCCUACCAAGGCGACGAUCCGUAACUGGUCUGAGAGGAUGAUCAGUCACACUGGAACUGAGACACGGUCCAGACUCCUACGGGAGGCAGCAGUGGGGAAUAUUGGACAAUGGGCGAAAGCCUGAUCCAGCCAUGCCGCGUGUGUGAAGAAGAUCUUCGGAUUGUAAAGCACUUUAAGUUGGGAGGAAGGGCAGUAAGUUAAUACCUUGCUGUUUUGACGUUACCAACAGAAUAAGCACCGGCUAACUUCGUG
This 484-nucleotide ribosomal RNA is filed under the name uncultured bacterium. RNAcentral describes it as "partial 16S ribosomal RNA". It matches the Rfam family "Bacterial small subunit ribosomal RNA", at positions 30 to 507 of the family's 1533-position model. The record is from RNAcentral.